RNAcentral lists this ribosomal RNA (259 nucleotides) under uncultured prokaryote. Its description in RNAcentral is "partial 16S ribosomal RNA". It matches the Rfam family "Bacterial small subunit ribosomal RNA", at positions 524 to 782 of the family's 1533-position model. The record is from RNAcentral.
UACGUAGGUGGCAAGCGUUGCCCGGAUUUAUUGGGCGUAAAGCGAGCGCAGGCGGUUCCUUAAGUCUGAUGUGAAAGCCCACGGCUCAACCGUGGAAGGUCAUUGGAAACUGGUCAACUUGAGUGCAGAAGAGGGAAGUGGAAUUCCAUGUGUAGCGGUGAAAUGCGUAGAGAUAUGGAGGAACACCGAUGGAGAAGGCGGCUCUCUGGACUGUAACUGACACUGAGGCACGAAAGCGUGGGGAGCAAACAGGAUUAGA